This 457-nucleotide long non-coding RNA is filed under the name Homo sapiens (human). RNAcentral's name for it is "HSALNT0235020". The record is from RNAcentral. Lineage: Eukaryota; Metazoa; Chordata; Mammalia; Primates; Hominidae.
GAGGAGACCUAUGUUACCAAAGCACUUUAGGUUGGUUCUUGACUAGCUCUAAACUGAGUCCUCAGUGGCUGACAUGAGGAACCACCGUGAGAACAGCUGGUACUCAUGGACCAGUGGCAGCUGGAUGACCCGCAGUCGCCAUCCACUGAAUCCUUCCAGGAACACCUGCACGUGGAAGCAGAAGAAGAAAAAGAAGAAAUGCUGAGAUGCUGAAGAUAAGAUGGAAAUAAGUCUGACCUGAGCGAAUUACUUUACUGUCCUUUGGAGUUUCUUGAAAAUAAAAUGUAUUCAUUUGAAGUGUAAUGGGCUUUUCCUUAACCAAAACUUCUGGCCAUUGAUUUGUGUAAAGAAAAGCCGUGCACAGGCUCAACUGAGGAAUAAAAGUUGUUUCAGAGUCGUAAGUCUUCUGAGUAAAAUCAUGUUGUUGUGACUUUUUACCUAUCCAUGUAACAUUCCA